AGGUCCCCGGGUGGUCGUGGAAGAGCCAGUCCCCCGUGGAGCAUGCCCGGGGGUGAUGCCAGUGCGUGUGGCCCUGGGGUGGCCUCGUGACCCGAGACGCCUGGGCUCGCAGCGUCCCCUCGCCCGUGUCCACUCGGUGCCUGGUGCCUGCCCCAUGCCUUGCACAGGAGCAGCCGUGCCCUCUGCUCACAUGCUGCCGGUGGGCCCCUGGAGGCUCCGACAGCCGCGGUCCGCCCGGAAGCACACAGGUCCCCUGGACUUGGCCCCAGCUCCUUCCCUGGCGCAGGUCAGCUGGUCACCCUGUGUCUGAGGCUGCAUGUCCCCUUGAAGCCCCAUCGCUCCUGCGGGAAGCUGCCCUGGGCCUGAGCAGGACAGCUGGUCCCGGGCACGUCCCCCCAGCCUGUGACGUGAGCACGGGGGCUCGGGGGUGGGCGAGCCGACUUCCCAGCUCGGCCGACAUCUUCGCUUUGUCCGCAUGCUGGCCAGGUUUUCCCGUGGCUGUUCCCUGGAGGAAGGCAGCGGCCUGGCCUCACCGGGGGUGCAGCUGCCCACGUCUGUCUUGGGCACCGCCUCCGUGCUGCAGCGCCGGUCCCCCAGCGAGGAGUACGUGGAGGUCGGCCGCCUUGGGCCCUCCGACUACUUUGGUGAGUGUCCCCUCCCGUGGGUCCUGGGGGAGCUCUCAGGGGGCGGGGGCUGAGCCGCCCUGCAGCUGGGACAGAGGGCUCCGCGGAGUCUCCCCAGACCCUGUUCCAGGGUGUCGGUCCAGCAUUCCUACACCUGGAGCCCGGUGGGUGUGAGGGAGGCCGGUGCCACAGCCCACGGUGCCAGCCACGCAGGGGCCUCUCAGAGGGGGGUCGGCCAGGAUGUGGAAGUGCUCUGGGCACUUCAGGGACUCACGUCCACUCAGGCCGCUGCUGGCACGUGGCAGGCUCUGCGGCUUCCCCUCCGGCCAGCACUGCCCUGAAGGUGAGCCGUGUCCGCCCCAACGCCUCGGCCCCUCGUGCCCCUGACGCCUCUCCCCCCUCCUCCCCCCUCCUCCCCCCCGCCCCUCCUCCGCCUCCCCGGGAGAUUUUGCUG
RNAcentral lists this long non-coding RNA (1077 nucleotides) under Oryctolagus cuniculus (rabbit). RNAcentral's name for it is "lncRNA (ENSOCUG00000036509.1)". Lineage: Eukaryota; Metazoa; Chordata; Mammalia; Lagomorpha; Leporidae. The record is from RNAcentral.